This 459-nucleotide ribosomal RNA is filed under the name uncultured bacterium. RNAcentral describes it as "partial 16S ribosomal RNA". It matches the Rfam family "Bacterial small subunit ribosomal RNA", at positions 338 to 795 of the family's 1533-position model. The record is from RNAcentral.
CCUACGGGAGGCAGCAAUGAGGCAUAUUGGUCAAUGGGCGGGAGCCUGAACCAGCCAAGUCGCGUGAGGGAAGAAGGUACUGAGUAUUGUAAACCUCUUUUGCCAGGGGACAAAGGCGGCCACGGGUGGCCGGAAGCGGGUACCUGGAGAAAAAGCAUCGGCUAACUCCGUGCCAGCAGCCGCAGUAAUACGGGGGAUGCGCGCGGUAUCCGGAUUUAUUGGGUUAAAAGGGUGCGCAGGCGGCGUGUCAAGUCAGCGGUAAAAUGUCGGGGCUCAACCCCGGCCGGCCGUUGAAACUGGCUGGCUCGAGUUGGAGAGAAGUAUGCGGAAUUCGUGGUGUAGCGGUGAAAUGCAUAGAUAUCACGAAGAACCCCGAUUGCGAAGGCAGCAUACCGGCUCCACACUGACGCUGAGGCACGAAAGCGUGGGUAUCGAACAGGAUUAGAUACCCCAGUAGUC